GCAGCUUCUUGACCUCUUCGAAGAGUGGUCUGUCCUGCCAUGAGGGCGGUUUGUUCUGGUUCAAGAUAUCCAGCAUGAUCCAGCAAUCCGAUUCAAUUUCCAGGCGAGCUGUAUGGAAUCCCGUCUUCAGCAGAUAACGAAGGGUGAAAGUGAGCGCUUGCACUUCAGAUUGAAGCGCCGAGGUCGCUGGAAAUUCUGCAGAAUAAACAGCGGGUGCCACGAUCAGGGGGUCGCCAUAGAAAUUCAGAGUGCAGGGCAGUGGAUUGUUGUUUCCUCCACCUGGGGUUGGAUCAGUCAUAGUUGCAAGUUUGUGCUCGAGCGUCAGAAACAGCAAGUUGGGGCGUCGGCUGCUGGUGCCUGAAAACGAAAUUAUUCCGGCCUCGCCAAAUCUGCCAUAAGACAUGCGCGAUGAGCUCUAUCCCAGGUCACAGAUAGGGUCCGAAGUAAUGUGGCGUCUAAACAUAUUGGAUUCAUGUGCUACGAAGUUGCCUGUACGCGUUUUGGACGGCAAAUUGGAUUGGAUUCAAAUAUGUGAAAUGUCAUAUGGCAAACUCAAAGACCAAGUGAGAGGGCUGACCUUGCUAAGUUCGAAGUGAACUCCUAUGGUGAACUCAGAGACAGGAACAAGCACCAGCAAUCCAUCAGGAGGUGAGUACCAAGUCUUCUUGAAUUUUAGAGGGCCUGAUACUCGUCGUACAUUCACCGAUAUCCUCCACCAAGCCUUGGUAAAUGCCGGGAUUAGUGUUUUCAUCGAUGAUGAAGGCUUCGACCAGGUGAAAGAAUUAGUGGCAACCUUCUACAAGCGAUUAGCAAUUGCAAGCUCUACAUACCCAUCUUCUCCAAAGGUUAUGCUUCAAGUCACUGGUGCCUCGACGAGCUUGCGAAGAUGGUGGAGAACACCUCUAAAUAUAAAGAAGAUGGGAAAGAGAAGGUCAUAUUGCCCAUCUUCUAUGACGUGAAACCCG
Molecule: long non-coding RNA, 965 nt
Organism: Eucalyptus grandis
Lineage: Eukaryota; Viridiplantae; Streptophyta; Magnoliopsida; Myrtales; Myrtaceae
Exons: 3
Source: RefSeq, a predicted model, not a curated record